Molecule: RNA transcript, 14630 nt
Organism: Gallus gallus (chicken)
Lineage: Eukaryota; Metazoa; Chordata; Aves; Galliformes; Phasianidae
Exons: 12
Source: RefSeq, a predicted model, not a curated record
GCGCUCAGCCCCGCGCCGUAGCAAAGUCGCGGCGGAACGGCGUGCGCUGCUCCCUUCGGACGAGCAGUCUUUAUUUUGUAAUCCCACAUCCCGUGGGUUGUGAUAAUCCGAGAGCCCAAUCUCCUCCUCCUGUUUUGCACUUGGAGCGAUGUGCCCUGGGACACAUGGAACGAUGUGCAAAUCGCUCAUGGAAAAAGAGGGGAUGGAUGAAGUCAGGCUGUGAAGGACCGCAUCCAGCAGCAGACCUCCCCUGGCAGAGGCUCUCUUGCUCCCUUGGCUGGGACGAAGUGCUGUGGCUGCAGGCAUAUGGGGCACACUGAGACAAACCGAGCAGCUUUUUGAGAAUGUCCUGAGACCCUUGGCAAUGGAGAGAGAUUGCAGUGCAAGCACUUUUCUGGAUUACUCUGUCACCGAUGUCAAAUCAAAGCAUCAAGGAUAUAAAUCUUCAGUAAACAUCUGGCCUCACUUCAGCCAGGUUAUGCAAUGCCUCAAGUACAUUCAGCAGCAGAUUAUGCUGCGUUCUCCAUUUGUGCAAUGCAAGCUAAUGUGAAUAUCAAGUCACAUCAGUGGUCUAGACAAGUAGUUGGGAGAUAAAGACAGCAACCCAAAGCGGGAAGUUUGGCCUCUCAGCUCCAACUUAAAGGUCCCCAUGUUCCAUCAAGGUGUUGUCUCGUGACAGCUUUGUUGGUAUUCUCAGCACUGCUUGGGCACGGUGGCUGAUCUUUCAUCAGAAACUGUAAAGGAAGGAAGUGGGCACGUCAAGGGAAAACUGACAUGUCACUGAAGACCCAGAAAGAAAGAAUGCCAGAGAAGAGGUAAAUCAUAGAAAAGCCUAAGCAUCACCUCUGCUCAGAUGGAAGAAGAAAAAAAGAAAAAAAAGCCAGACCCAAACCUUGCCCACCUGGGCAUCCUGCGUGGGAUGGAAUCCAGCCCUGCACUGCCCAGCAAUGGGUCUCCUCCCUGCUUUGUGCAAAGGAAGAUUAAGCAGAAGGGAUAAGAAAAGACAGGGGAAAAAAAUGCAUUUCUUUGCAGUAAACACAGCCUGCAGCCAUCGGUUUCUCUCAGCAUUGGAUGGCAAUUAUUUCUGUGUAAUAAGCAGUCACCCGAUGACCCUCCCCUUCAGCUUGCAACGCUUCUGCUGUCAAGUGUUAAUCCCUUUGUUAGCUACUCAGCUGCACAUUCAUUUAGGAGGACUAAUGACUUACACUGUUCCUUCUCUGCACGAUUUCAGCAGACGUGUAAUUAGAGGUGAAUGGCAGCUUCAGAGGUAUGGCUACCACUGGGGCCGGGGGCAAAGUCAAAGUGUUUGUCUGAUUUCACCAUGGGCUGUUUCAGUGAGUGAAACCAUGUGGGCGGCUGCAUAUGGGGGGGAAAGGAAGUAGGAAAGGAGAAGCCAAAAAAAAGGGAAAGGAUAAGAGUCAGUUGUUGGGCAUUUAGGGAGCUCGGAUGUGAAAAGGAACGUGUUUCCAAAUAUUUCUUUGUUGGGGUGUGAGACUGAGCUGAAUGCCAGCGAGGAGCCUGUUGGCACACAGACUGAGAAGGUACCGAAAGGGUGAAAAGCUUUGUUUCAAAGUGCUGGAGAUCCGUAGUCGUUAGCAGAGUGAGUGUGAGAGCCAGAAAGUGAUUAAAAAAAAGUAUUUUGAAGGUGAGCUGAGGAAGUGCUCGCGUGCCUCCGCAGUGCCUUACAGAAUACAGCCUCUAUUUUUUUUUCUAAGUGAAAGCCAUCGAGGUCUGCAACACCUUGAGAAACAUCCUGUGGCUCUUACACCAUGGGAAGAUGUCCUUUUGAAGUGCAAGUGAAUCCCUGCGUAUGUAUUAACAUCACAGGAUGCAGUAGAAAAGUAUAACAGGGAGCUGAGGUUCUGAUGGAUUUCAGGUAACAACAACAGAAAAAAGCCACAAAGAACCCCAAACCUCUUAGCUCUGAUUUCUAUGCAUUGACAAAGCACAGCUUCGCUGAGCUGCAGCGCUGCUCCCUGUCCUUGCAGCUGUUGGGGCUGAGCCGCAUCCCAGCAGUGUGCGGUGGCCGCUGCUUUUGGUGCUGCAGCGCAGCAUCCCCGGGGCAAUGGACUUCUGCUCUGUCCCAGCAGCAGCGCAGCAUCUCGCAGCUCCCACAGCUGCAUAUUGUCCCCUGCUUUCCCUUUCUUGUUCUUUUUCUUUUUUUUUUCUUUUUGAAAGCUUACCCUGGGUUUUGCUCAGCCCUGUCUCCUCCCAGCAGUGUGCCUGCAGCCCAGGGCUCCCUCCUCUUGUCUCUUCUGGAGUGCGCUGUCUCUUUCCUUCACCCCCCCCUUGUGCAGACGCACAUCAGUGGCUGAUACAACAACUGUGUUGAAGAACAGCCACUUCCAUUCUCUUGGUUGGUUGGGAGCGCUGAAGAGGAACUCGAGCAGCCUCAGAGAUGACACACGUUGGGCUUCCAUCUCCCCAGCAAUGCAGCCGUGUCGCCACUGUUGCUGUGCAGCCGGCAGGGACAGGACAUGGUGUGGCUGACAGCCCUGGGGAUGAGGACAUCCAGUUCUGAGGGACUUGCGGUCUGCUGGUAAGCAAACACACUGUCUGGCAGUGCUCAGUGGUGUCCUUCUGAAAAACCUUGUGUGCAAUUACAUGGCUCACAGCUACACACAGGUAGAGCCGGGUGAACACCAUUUCUCAUCUAUGUAUUCCAAGAGCAUCAGUGGUGCCCAUCCUCACUGUAUGCCUCCAGCAUGGGAGGGAGAGGAUUAAUUAAAUGGACCUCAGAACGCUGCCUCUGCUUGCCACCCUUCGUAUGUCUGAACUGGAGCCCAUCAGUCAGCCUCUGUUGGUGCCGAUGGAACACCCGGGCAGCACUCGGGACAUCAGACAAACCUGUGGGAGGGGAAGACAGUUACAGUCUGAUUUUUGGAUGCUUGAGGUGAAGAAACAGGCUCUGCCCGUGCAGUCACAGAUGGGACCUUAUGAGAUAUUGGUCAUGAAGUGCCAUCAUGGAAACCUCUGCAGGAAGCUCAAGCUUCAGGAAUCCUAAGCGAUGAUCAAAGAAAAAUCACAAAUGCAGUGGACUUCAAAGCAAAGGGGCAAUGGCCCAGCCUUCACUCAGUCAGUGCGCACAAAAUGGAAGGGCCCAUUACCUGUAGAUGGGAGAGGAGCAGAGCUAAGCCGCAGGUAGGUUUGUAUUUGAUAUCAUCUACUGACAGUGACGGGUCACAGCAUUGCCACAGCUGAAGGCUGUUGAGGGCCACCACAGAGCCUCCCAGCAGCAGUUCAGAUGCUGCAUGCUAUUUAUUUGCGUGCAAUUGGAAUCCACCCUACUAGUGUGCAUCGCUGACAGAUAGGAGGAAAGGAUUCACUGCAAGCACUGAGCCAGCACCGACAAGCUGGGAGGUGAAAACUCAGGAGCUUCACUGAAGGCAGCUGAAGCCUCCACUGCUGCACAUUGUGGUGCCUGCAGAGUCACAGAGAAAUAAAUCUUGGUUAAAUUUUUGAUGAGCUUUCAGCUGCUGUAAAUAAUUAACUAGGGCCUCUCUCGUUUGAACACGGGUGCAACUUUUCAUGUUUCAAACGCUUCCUGCCUCAGUCCCAGGGGAUUGCUCAAGUAAUUCAGGUCAUUCUUUCUUUUAUUUAUUUGCAGCAUCACCGGUCCAAACAAAUUUUGAACUUUCAAGCUGGGAAGGGAGAAAGCAUUUUCUUCUUGAUUUUACUCCAGGUAAAUCCCCAAGGGAGCACGUGUCUCAUUUGCAGUAGUUGAAUAAUAGAGAUUGAUGGGUUAAUCAGUUCCCAUACCAUUUAUGGAGUAAUGCUGUGCGCUCAUAGAUGAAGUCUUCAUGUUUCUCAAGUCUGCUGUUUCAAAGAUGAGAGCACAGGACAGCUUCAUACAGACAGAUGCACUAAGGAGAGCAUCCCUGUGUGUCCCCCCCAGCUAAAGCACAUUGGGCUGAUCCCGCUUUUGACAGUGCGAGUACUGAAGUCAGUCCUGCAUCACCACCAGGUAAGCAGCACAAAAAAUGAGGUCUGAAGAACAACUGAUUUGUCCCUUCAUUAGGUGUCAAAAGGAGCUUGGAUAUUGUUUUAGGUGGAAACUCAUGCAUAGAUGAAGUGGGUGUAAACUGUAUUAAAUAUUGGAUUCAAACUCCAGAUUAGGGGUUUUGAUGUCCUAUCCCAAGACUUUAAUGUCUAAAUUGAACUACUAAAAUAGCUCCUUCCUCAGGACUCCAUCCUGUCCCGCUUAGUUCUAUACCCACACACAACAGGUCACCUACCACUACUGUGGUCUGAGGCUGAUUUGGAUUUACUGCAGUGUCAUACUUUCUGUUUCAAUGCCUAUUGAGUAUGAUUUAUUACAAUGACAGACCACGCUACUGUUUGCAAUGCAGGCCGAAUUCAUUCCCACUUUUUAAUACAGUUUCUCACAUCAUCUCCAGCAUUUGAGAGAAUGUAUAUUUAUUUUAAUCACCGUGUACUGAAUAUGUAAUUUUUUUCCUAGGUAAAAUUUCCCUUUAAUAGAGGCUGGGUUAUGACAGAGCAAUUAUUUGAGUUAUGUGCACAUUACAGAAUAAUUUAACAUCAGCUUUUGGGUCAAUCUUUUUUAAUUAUCUAUUUUAUCAACUGGUUUUGACUAGCAGUUUAAAUAAUUGUGUUUGCCUAAUAUCUGGAAAUCUAAUUGCUUUUAGACAUCCUUUAUUCCAAUCCUGGUGUUGUUACCGUCUUGCAUACGGUGCAUGUUGGCACCUGUCUGUGCAGUGACAGAUUUGUGGUGACAGCUUAUAUAACUUAUUUAUAAAAUGAUGAAUUAUUUUUGAAUUUAACUUCAAGUUCACAGACUGGAAAAGUGGAGAAACACCUGCUUGCUGCAGAGGAUCUGCUAAGGAAGUCCAAAGGGAAACUAUGCACAGAGGGGAAAAGCACAGGCCAAGUGAAACAGAACCAUGUGGGUCAUCGUUAUGCUGUUCCAGGUAGGACUGUGGAUACCAAAGCAGGGAUGGGGUGACGGGGCGACCAAAGGAACAAAGGAACAGGCCCACAACCACAACAUCAUAGCAGGAAUUUUACUUACCUUCAGCCUCAAGAGGACAGAGAUUGAGGGGAAUGACAAAGAGAAACAAAAGAUAGGAACUUGUUCCGGGACAAAGGGAUGUUACUAUUUAUGAACCUGCAAGAGAAUUAGAGCUGAAAUACUUAGACAGAAAAAAAAAAAAAAAAAAAGAGAUUUUAAUUAAUGGUGAUAACUCUUAGAAAAAGAACCAGAUUGCCAGCCCUGAAAACUGCCAAUUCUUUUUAUCCACAAUGUAUACACAACCUUGGGGAGGCUGCUGCUAAGAGCCCCAGCACAGGACAUUGCCCUGAGCUUAGAGAAGUCCAACAUCUCAGUGGUCACACACUUUGGCUUUUGCUGCAGCUGCACUUUACAACAUGAGUAGCUGUGCACUACAUCAAUUCCAUGAUACAAUCAGAUCCAUUGACAUGGACAAUUUGUCCCUAAUGACUUGAGUCAGCCUACAAAGGUUACCAAGAAUCACAAAUCCUACUCAGAUAAACGUAGAGUAGCACAGGUCCCAUUCAAGGACCAAACCUAAGGAAGUCAUGGUAAAUGGAUUACCAAGCCCUUCUAAUACCUAGGGACAUUCUUAUUUAAAAAUAAACUAUAAAAAUAAAGAAAAAUGACUCCUCAUUCAGAUCAAGUCAUUUUGGUUAAAUUCCUAUUAUCCUGUUUAAACAGCAUCCUUUUAUCCCAGUUUUGAGGAGCAUCAUAUCUGUGGGGGCCACAAGGCACAGAAUUUGGCAAAGCAGCAACUGCAGAAUUUCUUCCUGAGUUAGAAGAGAGGGGGAGGGAUUGUUUUUUUUAGUUGUUAAUACAUUCUGGAGCAAUGAGGUGUUAGCAGAAGCCUUUCACCAUCUCCCUCGACAUCCUGUUCCCCACCCCUCUGCAGCUGGAUGGGAACUCACCUCCCAGCAGUUCUAGGCAGACAGACUGGGGUAACAAAUCCCCUGGUAGAAAGAAAUGCAAUCUGACUGAUCCCUGAAAAUGUAAUUUCUAGUUCACGGGGGCUAACAGAUGCAGGUAGCUCAAGCUAAAGCAGAAGGGUACCACCUCACCACAGCUUUCUUACGGGAUGGAAAAGCAGUGAUCUUUACUACUAGAGACUGAUAUUGCAUAGAUUAAGUCAAAUGUAUCAACUUCGCUUUAACAUGAGUGUUUCUAUUACCUGGGUCAGAGAGUCUGUGCAGUCACUCUCCAGAACCCGCUGUUAUUAAUUCAGCAAUUAUAGCUUUAUGGUGGCAGGGAUUCCUCGGUGUUUGAGCUGGCGCUGGAAAGCUGUAAUUCUGAAUGGAACAUGACAUGAAUUACUGGAUUGCUGUAAUUCUUCAGCUUUUCAUGCAUUUUCACUGCAUAUAUUAAAAUACAGCAAGCAAUUCACUUUUAAUUAUGUAAAUUCCAAGACAGUAAGACAAGAGAUGGAUGAGUUUUUAAAUGCCUGCUCUGCCUGACCACCUGUGGCUAGCACAGAAAGCCAUGGGCUCAGCAGGUCACCCUGCCCUCCGCACUCCUCCUCUCCCGGCUGUGCACAACACCGCCUCUUUUUAGUAUUCAGCGGUACUUCGAGAGCAAAGAGCACAGGAAAGAAAUGGCCAGAGGGGGGCUGGGAAAAGUCAGAUCCUGUCCACCUGCCUCCCUCACUUCUCUGGGUUUCCAAACAGACGAUACAUCACUGUUCUGACAUCAACAUAAGACCGCAAGGGCUGCAGAUAUUUACUGCUCUCUUAUUUGGCAAUUAUCUUCUCAAUGUUGAGAUGUUAUUAACAACUUCACCAGAAUAUAUGAGUCAGGAUCAUAAUUCUACAGCUCUAUGCCUGGCUUCUUUGCUGCUCCUUAGCAAAGCUCAUGGCUGCAACCAGCAGCACGUCCAUGCACAAGUCUGUGCAGUUAUUGUAAAGGAGAAAUAGGUUACACUGUUCUCAAAGACAUUGUUUUUAAACUGUAAGAUUCUGAGUGCAAGUAAUGAUGGCUUGUUAAAAGUCUAGUGACUGUAUCUAAUAGCUGCAGUGUUUGGCGCUGUAAUUACAGUAGCAAGAGAUUGCUGAGCACGUGUAAAAAAGGAAUAAUUGGGGUAGCAGCAACGCAAAAGCUUCUCUGGGCCUAAAGCAACUGUUAUUUUGCCCUCCUACUGAUGUGCCACUUAACGAAGCUACAAUGGUUGGAAACGAGCUCUCUUUGCAGUUAAGUUGGGUGUUUUCUGUUUAGGAGCCCUACGGUUUCACCCCCAGUACCUCCGCAGCUCAGGACGCAGAGGUAAAAUUACACAAACGCUUAUUGCCUUGCCCUGCGAGAAUACAUCUGCCUCUCCUCCCUAGACGCCAGGGAGAACUUUCAAGCAAGCAAAUUAGCAAUGCAAAUCUACAGCGACCUCUCCGAGGAGAGAGCACUGCUGUGCUCUGUUCUUCACGUUAGUAUUUCCAACCCUGGUGGACACUUUCCAUUUUCUCUAAUCUCUUCAUCCUCUUUUCCCCACCUAGGGACGUUUCUUUGCUCAUCUCAGUCUCGCUUCUCUAAAGGUGGUUUCUUGCAGCUUCAUCAGCAGCUAUUCUGUCUGCUGGAGUCUUCUGCUGCUUUCCUGUGUGCCUAUUGCAGAACUGCAAAAGAACACCAUCUUCCUGAAGUAGUAGAUGGAGUGCGUUUCCAUCCUGCUCUUGGCAUUGCUAUUACAAGCUUCACUUGGAUGUGGCAUGUGCCCCCAAACCCUGGAAUUCAGCCUCAUCCCCAAGCUUUUUGAACCUCUCUGCUCUGUUCUGGCAUACCUAUUGAUCACAUCUAUAUAUCUAGCCAGAAGCGAACCUUACCUUCACCCCUAAAGCUCCUGCAGAAACCUCACUUGUUUGUUAGUCAGCUGCUUUCCUGGGUCACUGCGGGUCUUUUCUAAAAAUCGUGUGCAAUUUUACCACUCGCUGAGCAAAGAACAGAACUACCUGCCUUCCUUCUUUACCUGCUUUGCUUUCACAGAGCAAUGCCUUUCUGGGCAGGGAUGCUACUGCAUCAGGCACUUACCAACAAGUAUCACCAUGUUCCCUACUUCUACUCCCAAGCCAUCGCAUGACUUCUCUCAGUCUCAGCGUGAGACAAGCCUGAUUUGAGCCAACAAAACAUCCGAACACAUGUUCCUCUAUGAAUUCAUCAGCAGAAAAGGCUGAGACCCCAGAACUAAACAACUGUGGUACUCUUCCCACUGCAGUAGGAAAAGUACCUCUUGCUCAUUGUGAGCAGUCGCUGGAAACUUUUCUACGUUCCAGUACACAACAGGAAAAGCAGACACUGUGUUUAUAACCAGAAGGAAAAGAAGAGCGCAAAAGGAGCUGCUGGCUGUGGGACUGAGGGAGUUCUUUCAAAGUAUAAAACGAAGCACAAGACUUGUGCAGAUCCUUCUGUAUCCUGCCGUUGUGUAGCAAUGGCAGUUGCAACUCUUAACAUUAAUUCUGCAAUACACAUCUACUGCUGGUUCCACCAACCAAAGACUGUGUAAAGAUCACCUUGCAAUGAGAAUCAGUUUAGCUCCAUUUAUUUCUUUAACGUCAGUGGAAUCACAGAGAUCACUUAUAACCUUGCAUGUUAAGUAAAGCAAUUAAUUGCACUACUGCACCAGGUUUAGACAUGAAAGGCAGACUUAAUAACAGGUUUAAAGAAAAGGCUUAGAGUAGGGGUUCAGAAUGCAGAAUAAGGGUUAGUGACAGCUAAUACCAGCCUGUAUAUAGAGAGCAAGGUUAAUAGUUGGCUUAAAGAUUGCUCAGAUCAAUAAAAGAACAGCACAAUGUACAUAAUAAUAUUUGUUUCCAUCAGUGUUUUGAUGGAAACAAGUGGCAGAAGCACCAAGACUGCCCCUUCAUUUAAAGCAUGGUUUACAUGUGCAUGCUGGCUGCCAGACUGGAAACAUCCACUUCUGGCCUCGUCUCGGGGGGCUUCCCAUGCAGCUGGUAGAGAGCAUGGGAUGCAUUUCACAUCAGACUACAAAGGCAUCUGUGGAGCCUGGCUGUGACAAGGUAUCCUCCAACCAGACAUCAGUGCGGGGUGGGAAUGGCCCCGUACUGCCAAGACACGGAGGGUCUGGAGCCUGGGGUGGACUGAAGAAAUGGGGUCUGGGUUAACAGCAUGGCUGGAGUAACUGGUGAGUACAAUAGGGCACAUAACACUUUUUGCAGAGGUCUGAAGGUGAACUGACAUACAGCUCUCAUUUUCAAGGAACAUGGGAGGCCUAUUUUGCUUAUUGCUGAAAGAAAUGUAAGAAUGUUUGAAUUUGAGGCGCCUCAAUACCUUUUUAAUACCUUUGUUCUUAGCGUUCUUAACACCUGCUUAGAGCGAGCAGAAGUGGAGGUUGGCAGGGAAAAAUUAGCAAUUGCCCACCCAUCAUUCAUUUCCCAGGCUGUUCCCAGGGCACAGCAAUUAUGCACUUCACCUCACUCAGGACAGGCUGUAAAAUCUCGGUAUUGUCCUUAAGUGCUAAAUCAAAGCAAGCAAAAAACGGUAAGUAAAUGUUUCCCACGCAACUGCUGCCCUUUGUAAGAAAACUAUUGAACUGAAAAUGAAAGGCAUCCAUAGGUACAUAACCAACGUUUCUAAUUUUACUUGCAGUGAUCCAAGGCGCUGUUUAAACAGCGAUGCUAUUACAGAUUUACUUAGCUGGUUUCUUUCUGAGUGCACCAGAACCCUGAUCCUUGCAACAAAGAAUGCCAAACAAAGCAGCAUUAGGCAAGUUACUGUGAAACGAAGGCAUAUUUGCACAGCAAUAGAAAGAUCUAAAUGGGACCAUAACGAGCAACCAAAUAGUAACGCAGUUGAGGGCAUUGCUUUGUAGGAAACAAGUGGCUAUUCUGAACCCUGAAGUGCCAAAUGUACUGAAUCACAAGAGCUCACUAAAAUGAGAGCAAACAUCUCAAUCCCUUCUGAGUAUGUACAAAUAUCAAAGCGAUUUGGGGCUGUUAACCUCCUCAGCUCGGUGACGGUAUCUUCACCAUCAGCGCACAGCACUUCCCUGUUCACAAACUGUCCGUAUAAUGGUUCGGUUUGACUGCAGCGCAAUGCAUGACUGAGGGGACGUUAAUAUCGAACAACUCUGAGUAGCUCAUCACCAAGGAUGAUUUAAAUAAAACAGAAAGUAAAGAAAGCAACACUACCCUUUGUAUCUGACAAUGUAGAGGGCGAAGUCGUGCCCAAAAUAUUUGGAUUUUUGUUUUCACAUGGAUUCCAUUGCUCCCACCUUCCUAAAGAGCCGAACAGUUUUAAGUGUACCUCCUUUGUUUCUGCUGCUCUGUCCUCUCUAGUUCCAAAGCUACAGCUGAAGUGCAUCCAUUCCCCCUCCCCUGCUCUGGCAUCCCAGCAGGACGGCAGCCAGGUCUCCUCCUGUAUGCCUCACCGUGUCAGCUCAAUUCCUCCCCCUAGAAACUGCCUUCCAGUUUUCUGAAUGUUUGGGGACACAGAUAAAUUGUAAAGUGGUCAUGGAAAUAUAAGAAGCAAAGAUAUCUUUCUUUCCAGAUUAGAUAAUUAUCCACUGAGAGAGGAAAUAGCAACAACAAAACGGCUUCAAAUUCUUCUGAACAUAAUUGAGUCUUUUAAGAAAUACCCCAACACCUAAACAGCCAUUCCUUUACUUGGAGGAGGGGAAAAUGCCAUAAAGCUUAAGGAGCAUUUUGUUCGGGAAAUCACAUCUUUCCCUAUUUUGCAGCUGACACAUUGCAUUGCAGAUCUGUCACAGCACAUUACCUCGGUGAUGUAACGUAACGCAACACUGCUGAUGCGACCCAAUCCGAUGUGUCCAACGUGAUACAUCAGCUACAAUAUCUGAAAAGCUUUUUUUCUGAAAACAACCUGUAUAGAAGGGACUCCUCUUUACCAAUUAAAAAAAAAAAGCCUUCCCAAAGAAUUGCAUCACCGGGAGAUAAUUGCUUUUUCACAGGUAAUUAGCAAAUACAAUUAGUUGUGGGAAAAGUUUGCUUUUCAGCAAUUCACACCAAAAAAAAAAAAAUGGUGAACAAAAGAUGACUGUGGCUGACAAAUAACCGCUUCCCAUGGCACCAGCUGAACCCACCCGAGUAGCAGCGGUUACAGGCUCAGAUCACACCACCACCGGACUCACUUUCUGUUCCCCACCAACACUCAGAGGAUAACCAGAAGUUCACCUUGUGAACUCUUCACAAACUGUCUGGCAGCUGAUUUUGCUCACCUGUGCAGUCGAUGUUAAUCACAGAAUCAAACAAAGAUACACCUCUCAGCACACGCCAUGGGAAGCUCUGCAGAUGCUUUGAGGACUACCUGCAGUCCUGCAGAGAAUUGCUGGAUUUUCACAGACAGGAGGACACGGUCCAUGUCACCAUGAUCAGAUGAAUACUAAGGAUCAAUGGCCUUAAAUAUUCUACUGGAGUGGCAGUGGUAUUUGUCAGCAGAGGAGACUUCAGCUCAAGCAAAUGACACCUUACCGCAUUGAUGGCAGCCAUCCAGAAAGCAACAACCACCCCUCCUCCCUCUAUCACUUGUUGGAGGGCAAAUGAAAGCUAACCUCACAGAACAGCCUGGGUUGGUGGAGGGCAUCCCAAAGAGCACCCAGUUCCAACCCCUGCCAUGGGCACGGCCUGCCAACCACUCCAUCCAUCACUCAGUCCCCUCAAACUGCCAGUGGCUGCUAUGGAGGGCUUCAGAGGCAGAAGCAGCCAUCCCCCCACGGCGCUCCCUUUCCCUUCCCCACCCAGCGCUCCAUGUGCAGGCUGCCAGCAGCAGGACUGGGGCGCAGACAGGGCGCCAGGCCCUUCCACUCACUGCUUAGACUGAUUUUUCAAGUGUAAAAUGUAAUUCAAAUCUCCAUAAAAAGCUAUUUGCUCCCUAGCCUCGCAAUUCUUACACCACGUUUCAACCGUGAAAUCCAAUUGGAAAAAAAAAAGAAGCCUUAUGUUCAAGGUCUGAAAAUCCUGCAAGAGCCUUUAGCUCUCAGACUGAAUUGUAUCUUAAACGCCAUCUGACCAGUUCUGUCUCUUUCCUCUGAUGGGAUGGCGUGGUGCCUGGUCUCUAAAUGCCUGAUCCUGAUUGCUGGGCACCCCCCAGACCUAAAUUCAGGUACUCGUGGGCUAUGUGUCCCUCCACAAAGCUGUUCUAACAACAGAAUCCAAGCUGAGCUUUCUCAAGUUUGAAAAUAUGGCCCAAAAUGCAACUGUGCAAAUUAAUCUCUGAAAUUCAGAGCCCAUGCUGCCCAGCUGUGAACGCCGCAGUAUCACAGCCCCCUCUGUACCAUACACACACAUAUUUCCAGCCCUUCCAGAUGCACUGCUGCUCUCCAUGCUGAGGCAAUUCAGCAGAGAGCACAAAUCCUGAUGCAUCUAUUGCAUGCCCUGGACUAUUCCCCCCCCCCCCCCCCCCCCCCCUCACUGAUGUAUAUCUGGAUACUCCAGACCUCUUGAAUAUAAAAACUCAUCACAGCACUCUGGAACACAGGUUGAUACCUCAGCUGAUACACACCAGUCAGACAAUUCAGGAGCUUUCACCAGUUCAAACAUUUUCUGAAUCAGGAACUUUCAGUGGGGUCCAAGUACGGUAACAGCACAGGGUUGCCAGCAGCCCAAGUUCUAACCCAGAAAUAGAUAAAGCUUUGAAUUGACACAACUUCUAAUCCCUUAGUUAACAUGAGUUAUAGGAAUCAACACUGAAUUAUAGGAAACAACACAAUGAUUUCUAUUUGCACACACGUUCUGCUCCAAUGCCAUAAAUCAUAACCACAACCUCCACUGGGCUUUCUACAGGCACAGAAAUAGGCAAAAAUCAUUCAUCUUUCAUUAAACACAAGAGAAGUUUCUGGCUUUUAUGAUGAUAACACAAAGCCUGCAAAUACAAUCUGUAUGUAUUCUACAGGCUCAGAAUGAGCCUCGUUAUCAGUGUAUCAUUAGCUACAGAUUGUCCCCUUGUCAAUAGGAUGUGAGAUGUUUCUGAAGAGCCCCGAAGUGAUGUGUGCCACACAUGUGAAUUGCUCCAUACACCCAACCCAGCACAACGUGCCACCUGACCGCGUUAAGCUCGCAGAAGAUAGAAAUCAGAAGAGCUUUUUCCAAACCAAACCUCCCUCUGGGUUCUCUCCUGACCUCUGGGUGUGAAGGCAUACGGCUCUCAAAAGGCAUUCUGGAACUUCCAGCCAUCCCUUAUAUCACACAUCUUUUGCUUUCUGCUGUUAUGACACCCAGCCCAUGGGACCCUGUGCUUCUGGGUGAAAUCGGCCACCCCAUUGGAAAGCCAUCAUGCAGUGGCAAUUAUUUCUCUGUGAGCACUAUUCACCCAAUAUCCUGCUUUCUGUUGGAAGAAAUGUUGGCCCGGGUGCCUGACUUCUAACGAAGAACACUUCAUUAUAUCUCAGGGACUGGGAAACCUCAUCUGUAUCUAUUUAUGUAGCACACCUAUGGCUGUGGGAAGAAAAUACCUUUUUUCAAGUCAUGGGUUUUGUUCCAUGACAUGGCAGUUAUCUGCGGCAACAUCAGGUAACAGCACCACCUUCUGCCAACACGUUACCAUCUCUGUAGAAAACCAAUAGAUGCAUUUUCUCUCUGCGAUUUCAGUGGCUUUCUCAAACACUUCUGAUGCAGACAACAAAGUUCAGAGCAAAGCCCUAAGGGCUGUUUUGAAACACCCCAAGCUGUCUUACAGUAAUGAAAUUACUGUCAUGUAACCAACUUCAGAGGUGCAAUGAAUGCCCUGAGCUGGGCAACGCAACAGGGUGAGGCCGGCACUAUGAAACAGCCCUGGGAGGACAGCUGGGCACAUCUGUCUGAGUCUCUACAGGAAACUCACUCCCCAUCUCCGCAGUGUUUUACAUUGGUCCCCAGAGGUGCACAGAAGGGUACGGUACGUCCUACAGCUUUAGAUGAUUUAAGAUGCCUGAAAAUAAUCAUCUUUCUUUUUCUAUAGGUUCUCUUUGUCCUUAGCAGACAAUCUGGGACUGCCUUGCCUUCAGAUGUCCAAAUUUUAGGCAGUUGACUUUCAGAGAGAUGAACAUUACACAAUACACGUAUUUGCUUUUGAGAGCAAAACUGUGUUUUUACCUCAACAAACGCCCUAUUUUCCUGCCAAAUUCUUCCCUCUGUGUGGGACCAACGUGCACAUGGAGCCAAGGAACGCAGGAGAAAUGGUGUCAGCGGACACAGAGGUGAAGAAUAAGGUGCCAAUCAAUAAACCAGUAAUUAGCUCUGUUUGGCAGGUUGGGGGUGUUUGGGUUUUGGUAUUUUGCUGUUGCGUUUUUUUUUUUCCUGCUGGUUUUGAAAGAAGUUUGCUUAUCUAAGUUUUAUAACCACUUAAAUGAAUCCCAGCUCUGUUCAAAUCAAUGAAAGCUUUUGCGAGACAGCUGUAAUUUUAUGUGCAUGUGUUUCAGUAAAUUAGAGGGUUUAGCCUUAAGGAUUCACUUUAGUGUAAUCUACUAAAAAGAUAAGUAGAGCCAGAUGCAGUGUCUUACAACCGCUGGACAGUCGCAACUGGAGCGACAGCACUGACAGCAACUUUAUGGCUUUCCUCAUAGGGAGCAGAUUUCCUGACUCAAAAAGAGCAGUAUUUUACAUAAAUAGUUGUCAAUAUUUUGUAUUUACGAUGCAAAGAAAGAAGGGUGCAAAUAGUGAAAAAAUGAAAUAAAAUUAGCCCAAACAACUGA